GCCUCUGUAUCUCAGUUGGAUGGUUAGAGCACUGCAUCAGAAUCGCAGAGUCGCAGGUUCGAUUCCUGUCAGAGGAC
This is a non-coding RNA of Paramuricea clavata, 77 nucleotides long. Lineage: Eukaryota; Metazoa; Cnidaria; Anthozoa; Malacalcyonacea; Plexauridae. The record is from the annotation of a GenBank genome assembly.